GACGAACCGUGCGAACGUUGUUCGGAAUCACUGGGCUUAAAGGGCGCGUAGGCGGGCUGCCGAGUCCGGGGUGAAAGCCUCCCGCUCAACGGGAGAAGGGCCCCGGAUACUGGCGGCCUCGAGGCGGGUAGGGGCGGGCGGAACUGUGGGUGGAGCGGUGAAAUGCGUUGAUAUCCACAGGAACACCAGUGGCGAAGGCGGCGAUCUGGGAAGAUACUGACGCUGAGGUGCGAAAGCGUGGGGAGCAAACAGG
This 253-nucleotide ribosomal RNA is filed under the name uncultured bacterium. RNAcentral describes it as "partial 16S ribosomal RNA". It matches the Rfam family "Bacterial small subunit ribosomal RNA", at positions 524 to 776 of the family's 1533-position model. The record is from RNAcentral.